RNAcentral lists this ribosomal RNA (508 nucleotides) under uncultured bacterium. Its description in RNAcentral is "partial 16S ribosomal RNA". It matches the Rfam family "Bacterial small subunit ribosomal RNA", at positions 28 to 507 of the family's 1533-position model. The record is from RNAcentral.
GACGAACGCUGGCGGCGUGCCUAAUACAUGCAAGUCGAACGCUUCUUUCCUCCCGAUUGCUUGCACUCAAUUGGCACGAGUAGUUGCGGACGGGUGAGUAACACGUGGGUAACCUACCCAUCAGAGGGGGAUAACACUCGGAAACAGGUGCUAAUACCGCAUAACAGUUUAUGCCGCAUGGCAUAAGAGUGAAAGGCGCUUUCGGGUGUCGCUGUUGGAUUGACCCGCGGUGCAUUAGCUAGUUGGUGAGGUAACGGCUCACCAAGGCUACGAUGCAUAGCCCACCUGAGAGGGGGAUCGGCCACCCUGGGACUGAGACACGGCCCAGACUCCUACGGGAGGCAGCAGUAGGGAACAUUGGGCAAUGGAAGAAAGUCUGAUCGUGCAAAGACGCGUUAGUGAUGAGGGUUGUCGGAUAGGAAAACCCGGUGGUGAGAGAGGAACAAGGACGUUAGGAAAUGAACGACUCCUGAAGGUAUCUAACCAGAAAGCCACGGCUAACUACGUG